UACGAAGGGGGCAAGCGUUACUCGGAAUUAUUGGGCGUAAAGAGUGCGUAGGCGGUUGUGUAAGUUGGAAGUGAAAUUCUUUAGCUCAACUAAAGAACUGCUUACAAAACUGCACAACUUGAGUCUCAGAGAGGACAGAAGAAUUCCUGAUGUAGGGGUGGAAUCCGUAGAUAUCAGGAGGAACACCGAAAGCGAAAGCAUCUGUCUGGCUGAGCACUGACGCUGUUGCACGAAGGCGUGGGGAGCAAACAGG
This 253-nucleotide ribosomal RNA is filed under the name uncultured bacterium. RNAcentral describes it as "partial 16S ribosomal RNA". It matches the Rfam family "Bacterial small subunit ribosomal RNA", at positions 524 to 776 of the family's 1533-position model. The record is from RNAcentral.